UCCAAUCGAACGCGGAGAUAGCUGGUUCUCCCCGAAAUAGCUUUAGGGCUAGCCUGAGGUAGUAAGUAUAGGCGGUAGAGCACUGAUCGGGCUAGGGGCCGUAAAGGUUACCGAACCCUGUCAAACUCCGAAUGGAUAUACUGUAGAGCCUUGGAGUCAGACUACGAGUGAUAAGAUCCGUGGUCAAAAGGGAAACAGCCCAGACCACCAGCUAAGGUCCCCAAUGUCGUACUAAGUGGAAAAGGAUGUGGGGUUUCAUAAACAACCAGGAUGUUGGCUCAGAAGCAGCCACCAUUUAAAGAGUGCGUAAUAGCUCACUGGUCGAGAGACCCUGCGCCGAAGAUUCCCGGGGCUAAAGUACGAAACCGAAGCUGUGGCUGUAUACGUAAAGUAUACGGGGUAGGGGAGCGUUCCCAUAGGGUAGAAGUCGAACUGGAAGGUUCGGUGGACUUGUGGGAAGUGAGAAUGUUGGUAUGAGUAGCGAAAAGAAAGGUGAGAAUCCUUUCCACCGAAAGCAUAAGGAUUCCUGAGCAACGAUCGUCGUCUCAGGGUAAGUCGGGACCUAAUCCGAGGCAGAGAGCGUAGGAGAUGGACAACUGGUUGAUAUUCCAGUACCGGUAGUAAUUGUUUGAGCAAUGGAGUGACACAGAAGGGCAGGCAAGCAUGCGAAUGGAAGAGCAUGUGUAAGCGUGUAGGGUGGUGCAUAGGCAAAUCCGUGCACUGAAAGCCUGAGGCGUGAUGCGGAGUGAGCAGAGAUGCGAGCGAAGUUGUUGACCCCACACUGUCGAGAAAAGCUUCUAGUGAGAGAGCUACCGCCCGUACCGUAAACCGACACAGGUAUGCGGGGAGAGAAUCCUAAGGUGCGCGGGAGAACCCUCGUUAAGGAACUCGGCAAAAUGUACCCGUAACUUCGGGAUAAGGGUAGCCACUGUUGUGAAGUCCCAUGCGGAUGGAGCAUAGAGUGGUCGCAGAGAAGAGGCCCAAGCGACUGUUUACCAUAAACACAGGUGCCUGCUAAAGCGAAAGCUGACGUAUAGGUGCUGACACCUGCCCAGUGCCGGAAGGUUAAGGAAGGAUGUUCGGAUUAGUCCAAAGCAUUCGACUGAAGCCCCGGUGAACGGCGGCCGUAACUAUAACGGUCCUAAGGUAGCGAAAUUCCUUGUCGGGU
RNAcentral lists this ribosomal RNA (1168 nucleotides) under human gut metagenome. RNAcentral describes it as "bacterial LSU rRNA". It matches the Rfam family "Bacterial large subunit ribosomal RNA", at positions 828 to 1977 of the family's 2925-position model. The record is from RNAcentral.